Molecule: ribosomal RNA, 253 nt
Filed under: uncultured bacterium
Lineage: Bacteria
Also listed under: 1 other name
Description: partial 16S ribosomal RNA
Rfam family: Bacterial small subunit ribosomal RNA
Source: RNAcentral
GACGGAGGGUGCUAGCGUUGUUCGGAAUUACUGGGCGUAAAGGGCGCGUAGGCGGCUCUUUCAGUCGGAUGUGAAAGCCCGGGGCUCAACCCCGGAACGGCAUCCGAGACGGGAGGGCUCGAGACCGGGAGAGGAGGGUGGAAUAGCCAGUGUAGAGGUGAAAUUCGUAGAUAUUGGCUGGAACACCGGUGGCGAAAGCGGCUCUCUGGCCCGGUUCUGACGCUGAGGCGCGAAAGCGUGGGGAGCAAACAGG